This 1064-nucleotide ribosomal RNA is filed under the name Salmonella enterica subsp. enterica serovar Typhimurium. Its description in RNAcentral is "partial 23S ribosomal RNA". It matches the Rfam family "Bacterial large subunit ribosomal RNA", at positions 599 to 1580 of the family's 2925-position model. Lineage: Bacteria; Pseudomonadati; Pseudomonadota; Gammaproteobacteria; Enterobacterales; Enterobacteriaceae. The record is from RNAcentral.
GCGUACCUUUUGUAUAAUGGGUCAGCGACUUAUAUUCUGUAGCAAGGUUAACCGAAUAGGGGAGCCGGAGGGAAACCGAGUCUUAAUUGGGCGUUAAGUUGCAGGGUAUAGACCCGAAACCCGGUGAUCUAGCCAUGGGCAGGUUGAAGGUUGGGUAACACUAACUGGAGGACCGAACCGACUAAUGUUGAAAAAUUAGCGGAUGACCUGUGGCUGGGGGUGAAAGGCCAAUCAAACCGGGAGAUAGCUGGUUCUCCCCGAAAGCUAUUUAGGUAGCGCCUCGUGAAUUCAUCUCCGGGGGUAGAGCACUGUUUCGGCUAGGGGGCCAUCCCGGCUUACCAACCCGAUGCAAACUGCGAAUACCGGAGAAUGUUAUCACGGGAGACACACGGCGGGUGCUAACGUCCGUCGUGAAGAGGGAAACAACCCAGACCGCCAGCUAAGGUCCCAAAGUCAUGGUUAAGUGGGAAACGAUGUGGGAAGGCCCAGACAGCCAGGAUGUUGGCUUAGAAGCAGCCAUCAUUUAAAGAAAGCGUAAUAGCUCACUGGUCGAGUCGGCCUGCGCGGAAGAUGUAACGGGGCUAAACCAUGCACCGAAGCUGCGGCAGCGAACGUAUCACCCAAGACAACUUUACGGAGUUGACGAUUGACGGAGCGAAGCGACGUCAAAGCGUUCAUUAAAGUCGAGUUGGCUUAGGGAUACGUUCGUUGGGUAGGGGAGCGUUCUGUAAGCCUGUGAAGGUGUGUCGUGAGGCAUGCUGGAGGUAUCAGAAGUGCGAAUGCUGACAUAAGUAACGAUAAAGCGGGUGAAAAGCCCGCUCGCCGGAAGACCAAGGGUUCCUGUCCAACGUUAAUCGGGGCAGGGUGAGUCGACCCCUAAGGCGAGGCCGAAAGGCGUAGUCGAUGGGAAACGGGUUAAUAUUCCCGUACUUGGUGUUACUGCGAAGGGGGGACGGAGAAGGCUAUGUUGGCCGGGCGACGGUUGUCCCGGUUUAAGCGUGUAGGUGUGUGUUCCAGGUAAAUCCGGUUCACUUUAACACUGAGGCGUGACGACGAGGCACUAC